UCCCCUUCCUUCCUUGUUCACUGCUCUUGUCCUGCUUACAGCCCCACCCUGCCUGGCUUCCCAGCCCUUCUGUGCAUCUGGCCCUCACCGUGUCCCUCCUUCCUCUGCAGGUCUAGCCCUGGACAAGCUGAGUCCCCCUGACCCAGCCUGGAUGGCGAGACUGUCAUUGCCCCUCACUACCAAUUACCGAGACAACUUGUCUUCCCCUGAUGCUGCAGCAUCAGAGGAACCGAGAACCUUCCAGACAUUCGGCAAGACAGUCGGACCCGGUCCCGAGCUAAGCGCAACAGGCACGCGCCUGGCCAGCACUUUCGUCUCGGAGAUGAGCUCACUGCUGGAGAUGUUGUUGGAGCAGAACACGGUGCCUGUGGAAGCUGCGUCUGCGGCUUUGCGGAGGCUCUCAGUGUGCGGGAGGACCCUGAGUCUAGACCUAGCCACCAGUGGGGCCUCGGGCUCAGAAGCACAGCUGGGUAGAAAAAAGGCAGCUGAGAGCAGUCUUGGCUGUGGCAGGAAUCUAUGAAUAUGGUUGGAACAUCUUUGGAUCCAGGACUUGGGUCCCCUGGGAAAUGUUAGGACACUCAGGUCUUGAGGAUCUCAGGGAAUAAGCUGGUUUCUAAACUUGUGGAAUUCAUUGGCCAGAGAUAACCCUAACUUUGGAGUAACGGAUGCUAUGCUAUUCCCCACAGAGGAAGCAGGAGCCCAGGACUAACAAGCA
Molecule: long non-coding RNA, 715 nt
Filed under: Rattus norvegicus (Norway rat)
Lineage: Eukaryota; Metazoa; Chordata; Mammalia; Rodentia; Muridae
Description: long non-coding RNA NONRATT013785
Source: RNAcentral